Molecule: unclassified non-coding RNA, 218 nt
Filed under: Hevea brasiliensis (rubber tree)
Lineage: Eukaryota; Viridiplantae; Streptophyta; Magnoliopsida; Malpighiales; Euphorbiaceae
Source: RNAcentral
UAGUAAGCUAAUAAUUGGACUCCAUGGGAUCGAGGAAUGAACAUAUCUGAAUAGGCAAAAAGGACUUUAAUAUGUUAUCUGUGAAAAGCCUAAUCACCUUAGUGGAGCUAAACUAGUUAAACUCCUUCAUAACUAUUAAUUUGUGACAUUAAACUUGUAAAGUUAGGAGAAAUUUUUUUGAAAUGCAAACAAAUCUAAAAAUGCCUCACCAGCUCUAG